GAGAGCGACUAUCCAGCUCUGGCCAGUGAAGCCUCUGCUCCAUCUGAGGCGAUUUCUAACCCUCUCACUCACAUUUUCUCUGAAAGAGAAAGAAGCCUCCCUGUGCCUCACUAAAGCAGGACAUUCAUGGCGAGAAGGGGUUGGAAAAAGACAGACUCAACAACCAAAUAAUCACCACCAGUGAGUGUCCUUUCAGGAAAGAGGUCUUUUUUAGAUGAUUGCCAGGAGAGGAGGGCCAGUGUUUUGAGACCUUUGGACAGUGUGUACACGUGUACACCAACAGCCUGCUGGAUUUUCCUGGGGUGAGUACUACAAAAGUAACAAGAGAAGAGAAAACAAAAACUUGAAAGAAAUACAUGCAUGCUUUUAAACUGACAUAGGACAUAAUGUAGGUUGCUUAACAUGGAAUAAUUAGGUAAAAUUACUUUUAAGACUACAUUUCUAUGCCAAUUUACAAAUGUGAUUUUUUUUUAAAAUGAGGUUUAAACAAAUUAGAGCUAGACUAAGUUCUUAGAAACUAAUACUCACAUAUCAGGGGUGCCUCCUCCAAUACUGGCUCUUUUAUAAUAAAAGCACUGUAAACAACUGAGUCAACAUGGAGGAGGGGGGGGAAUCCCCAGGUCUCCCUAAAUCUCCCCUCUCCAGUGGAUGCUGGUGGUAGAGUGAAUAAAAAUCUUUCAUUGGACACAUUUCAGGGCUUUGGUCUAUUAUUUGAACGAUAGGUAGACGAGGCCAGAAUCAAUGGCAAAUCACCUCCUUCUACUCUAUUUUUUUGUCUUUGUAGGUCCUGAGCGUCUAAAGAUCGUGAUUUACCUGGAAAAAUGAACAUAUAAGAAAUUGCACUUUAUGUGGCCAGGAGGUUUCUAGCGUGGGUCUCCCGAGCAGCAGAGGAGCAGUAACUCUGCACUCUGAGCCUCAAACAUACGUCAUCUUCUCUUGCCAACGUAGAAGCUUCUUCCACACUUGCCCUGCCUGAAUCCCUUCUUUGCUUAGAAAUUUCUGCUCUCUUUAGGUCUUCAUGGUCACUGUGCUUGAGACACCUUCAAACCCUCAAGUCCGAGUUAAGUUUGCUGCUUCCCACACAUCAAUGUGCUUAACCAUAUGUCUCUCCCCAGAGUCCAUACACACAGGGAAGGUGGGUCCAUGACCUUGACGCCCAGCUUCCUGGUGUACUUACAUCAGGAACUCAACAACUGGACAAAAUUAACCAGCACUGUUGACUCCACACCUCAGUGAGACAAGAGUACUUUUGAAAUUAGAAGAUCCUGAUGUCACAGGUAGAGAUCUGCGCCCUUCGCAUUCCAGCAAAAGGAAGUGUAAAUGUCGUACUUACCAUGAUGGACGACGCCCUUCAACC
Otolemur garnettii (small-eared galago) is the source of this 1357-nucleotide long non-coding RNA. RefSeq lists it as uncharacterized. The record is from RefSeq and is a predicted model, not a curated record. The transcript is spliced from 3 exons. Lineage: Eukaryota; Metazoa; Chordata; Mammalia; Primates; Galagidae.